This 256-nucleotide ribosomal RNA is filed under the name uncultured bacterium. Its description in RNAcentral is "partial 16S ribosomal RNA". It matches the Rfam family "Bacterial small subunit ribosomal RNA", at positions 524 to 777 of the family's 1533-position model. The record is from RNAcentral.
UACGAAGGGGGCUAGCGUUGCUCGGAAUCACUGGGCGUAAAGGGUGCGUAGGCGGGUCUUUUAAGUCAGGGGUGAAAUCCUGGAGCUCAACUCCAGAACUGCCUUUGAUACUGAGGAUCUUGAGUUCGGGAGAGGUGAGUGGAACUGCGAGUGUAGAGGUGAAAUUCGUAGAUAUUCGCAAGAACACCAGUGGCGAAGGCGGCUCACUGGCCCGAUACUGACGCUGAGGCACGAAAGCGUGGGGGAUCAAACAGGG